UACCAGCACCCCGAGUGGUCGGGACGUUUAUUGGGCCUAAAGCAUCCGUAGCCGGUUCUACAAGUCUUCCGUUAAAUCCACCUGCUCAACAGAUGGGCUGCGGAAGAUACUAUGGAGCUAGGAGGCGGGAGAGGCAAGCGGUACUCGAUGGGUAGGGGUAAAAUCCGUUGAUCCAUUGAAGACCACCAGUGGCGAAGGCGGCUUGCCAGAACGCGCUCGACGGUGAGGGAUGAAAGCUAGGGGAGCAAACCGG
Molecule: ribosomal RNA, 253 nt
Filed under: uncultured bacterium
Lineage: Bacteria
Description: partial 16S ribosomal RNA
Rfam family: Archaeal small subunit ribosomal RNA
Source: RNAcentral